UCGGCGCAGCAUGGCUCCCCCCGCGCCCGGGGCGCUGCCUCUCCUCCUCCUCCUGCACCUCGCCGCCUCCUCCAAGCUCAACACCCCCAAGGUGCUGCUCCCUUUCACCCGCGGCACCCGCGUCAACUUCACGCUAGAGGCCAGCGAGGGUUGCUACCGAUGGUCGUCCACGCGGCCGGAGGUGGCCAGCAUCGAGCCGCUGGGGCAGGACGGCUGCCGCUGCUCGCAGAGAGCGCUGGUCCAGGCGCGCUCCUCGCAGCCCACGCGCCUCACCGCCAUCAUCUCUGCCGAGGACACACUGACUGGACAAGUGCUUCGCUGUGAUGCCAUUGUUGAUUUGAUUCAUGGCAUUCAAGUGGUGUCCACAACGAGAGAGCUCUACCUCGAGGAUUCACCGCUGGAGCUCAAAAUUCAUGCUUUGGAUUCAGAAGGAAACACUUUCAGCACUUUGGCAGGGUUGGUGUUUGACUGGACAGUGGUGAAGGACCCAGAGGCCGAUGGCUUCUCAGACUCGCACAAUGCUCUACGUAUACUCAAGUUCUUAGAAUCCACUUACAUCCCACCUUCCUAUAUAUUGGAAAUGGAGAAAGUUGCCAAGCAAGGAGAUACCAUCCUGGUGUCUGGAAUGAAGACAGGGAGUUCUAAAUUAAAGGCAAGACUUCAGGAAAGCAUCUAUAAGGAUGUACACCCUGCAGAAGUCAGAUUGCUUAUUUUGGAAAACAUCCUUUUAAAUCCAGUGUAUGACAUUUAUCUUCUGGUAGGAACAUCAAUUCAGUACAGAGUUCAGAAACUGAGGCAAGGGAAGAUCACAGAAAUAGCGAUGCCAUCAGACCAGUACGAGCUGCAGCUCCAGAACAACGUCCUCCAUCCCAAGGGAGAUCUCUCCCGGCCAGUUGCCAAGCUGGACCGGGCAACAUCCACUGUGACUGCAUUGCAGCAGGGCCAAGCCAACCUGGUCCUGGUGCACAAGAAUAUCCGCAUGCAGGGGGUGUCCAGGCUGCCCAACAGCACUGUCUAUGUGGUACCUCCUGCGUAUUUGGGAUUUACAGUUCAUCCAGGUGACAGAUGGGUCCUGGAAACGGGCAGACUUUAUGAAAUUACGAUUGACGUGUAUGAUAAAUCAAGCAAUAAGGUGUAUUUAUCUGAUAACAUCAGGAUUACUACAGAGCUGUCCAAAGAAUACUUUGAGGUGCUGCAGUCCUCUCUGAAUGGAUCCUAUCACUAUGUGAUGGCAGUGAAGGCGGGCCUGACCACGAUUGAUGCUGCCCUGACGUCAGUAGUUGAUCAGGAUGGAGGUGUUCAUACCUUACCAGUUCCGGUGCAAAACCAGCAGGAUGUGGAGAUCUAUGUUCCAAUAUUUCUUUUGCCCAGCAUUCUGAUGUUUCCUUGGCAGCCAAGAGCAGGAGUGUACCAGUACACCAUCCAGGCUCAGGGUGGAAGUGGCAACUUCAGCUGGUCCUCUUCUAACCAGGCAGUAGCCACAGUGACAGUCAAAGGAGUCAUGAGCACUGGGAGUGAUGCUGGGGUCAGCAUCAUCCAGGCGUUCGACGUUCGGAAUCCGUUGCAUUAUGGAGAAAUGAAGGUGUACGUCAGCGAGCCCAGCGCCAUGGAGUUCGCUCCCUGCCGGGUGGAAGCGCACGUGGGGCAGGUGCUGGAGCUGCCCCUGAGGAUCAGCGGCCGCACCGGCGGGGACGGGGCUGAGCUGGUGCCCCUGAGCGACUGCUCACACCUGGAGCUCGCCCUGGAGCUGGAGAACCCUGCCGUGUUCAGCCCGCUUGAAGGAAGACUUAAGCCCACUGCUGAUUUUUGCAGCGGGGUGAGGGUGAAGGCUGAAUUUCAGGGGUCCACCAGGCUGGUGGCGGUGUACACCCACGGGCAGGUGCGCCUCAGUGCCAGCAUCGCCAUCGCCGCGUAUCUGCCUCUGAGGGUUAUUGAUCCGCCAUCUGUCGCUUUAGUGACUUUGGGCUCCUCUAAGGAUAUGUUGUUUGAAGGAGGACCGAGGCCAUGGGUCCAAGAACCUUCCAAGUUCUUCAGGAACGUCACUGCUGAGGAUGCAGAAAGCAUUGCCCUGUCUUUACUCGAACCCCCCACACCUCGAAACAACAACCAGCACUGGGUUAGGGUGCUGUGCAGGAGCCUGGGAGAGCAGGUUAUUACCUUAACAGUUGGGAACAGCCCCACCGUGACCAACCCCUUCCCAGUGGUGGAACCUGCUGUGGCCAAGUUUGUCUGUGCUGUCCCUUCCCGGCUGGCUUUGAUCCCUGUUUAUGGCAGCCCUCAGCUUGAUCUCUCCUGCCCUUUGCUCCAGCAGAACAAGCAAGUGGUUCCCGUUUCCAAUUACCGCAAUCCAAUGCUGGAUUUGGCUGCCUAUGACCAGCAAGGCAGGAAAUUUGACAACUUCAGCUCUCUUAGUGUGGUGUGGGAAUCCACAAAUAAGGCCAUUGCUCGUAUUGAGCCCGAGCUGCCAAUGGAGCUGACUCUGAAGGAGGAGGGGAAUGGUCAGAAGAAAAUGCAUGGCUUACAGACUGUGGUAGUUGACCGUGAGUUUGGAACUGCUGCCAUCUCUGCCACUGCCACUGGAUUCCAGCAGCCCCACCUGAAGGCAGCCAGAGCCAAACUACAGCACGAAGCUGUGCUCCCAGGGCCUGCCACCAUCGAACUGAUGCUCGUGGAAGAUGUGAAGGUGAGCCCUGCUGGGCUCUCCAUCUACAACCACCCUGAUGUCCAGGCAAAGCUUCUCAUCCAACAAGGUUCUGGAUAUUUUUUCAUUAAUACCAGCGUGCCAAAUAUUGUAAGAGUGACACAUGAGGAGACUCAAGGCGUUGCUUUGGUGCAGCCUCUGCUCCCAGGAUCAGUGACUGUCAUGAUUCAUGACCUGUGUCUGGCUUUCCCUGCCCCAGCUGAAGCUGAAAUUCAUGUGUCUGAUAUCCAGGAGCUGUAUGUGCGAGUUGUUGACAAGGUGGAGAUUGGAAAAACAGUUAAGGCUUAUGUCAGAGUUCUGGAUGAUUCAAAGAAACCUUUUUUGGCAAAAUACUUCCCUGUCAUGGAUCUCAGUCUCAGAGCAGCAUCUCAGCUUGUCUCACUUGUCCCCCUGAGGGAGGCUCUGGAUGACCACACUGCUGCUUUCCUGGUGCGUGGGAUGAGCAUUGGGCAGACGAGUCUGAUGGCAACUGUGGCUGACAGAAGAGGACAGAGAAUCAGCUCUGCUCCACAGCAGAUUGAAGUCUUUCCCCCAUUUAGACUACUGCCAAGGAAAGUGACCCUAAUUAUUGGGGCCAUGAUUCAGAUCACUGCUGAAGGGGGCCCCCAGCCCCUCUCCAACAUCAUUUUCUCCAUCGACAACAAGCACAUUGCAUCAGUGAACGGCUCUGGGCUGGUCAGAGGAGUGGCCAUUGGCACUGGGGUGGUGACAGGAGUGCUGCAGGCUGUUGAUGCAGAGACAGAGAAGCUUGUGGCAGUGUCCCAGGACAAGGUGGAAGUUGAGGUGGUGCAGCUGACAGCUGUGAGAAUUCGGGCACCCAUUACUCGGAUGAAAGCUGGCACUCAGAUGCCAGUUUAUGUCAUGGGCAUCACCAGCACUCAGACUCCUUUCUCCUUUGGCAAUGCUGUGCCAGGGCUAACGUUCCACUGGUCUGUCACCAAGAGGGACACUCUGGAUGUCAGGACCAGGCACAGUGAGGCUGCUUUUCAGCUUCCUGCAAACUACAACUUUGCAGUGGACGUUUAUGGCAGAGUCAAGGGAAGGACGGGCCUGAAAGUUGUAGUGAAGGUCCUUGAUGCUGCAGCCAACCAGUUCUACAACAUGGCCAGAGAGCUGUCUGAUGAAAUCCAAAUCCAGGUGUUUGAAAAACUUCAUCUAGUCACUCCAGAGGUAGAAACAGAGCAGAUCUUAAUGUCACCAAAUUCCUUUAUCAAACUUCGGACCAACAGGGACCGAGUGGCCUCGCUGAGUUACCGUGUCCUGGAUGGAGCAGACAAAGUACCUGUUGUGAAAAUCGAUGAGAGAGGAUUCCUGGUCUCUGGCUCUGUGAUCGGCUCCUCGACCAUCGAGGUGACUUCCCAAGAGCUGUUUGGCAUCAACCAGACCAUCAUAGCUGCUGUGAAGGUCUGCCCCAUCUCCUACCUCAGGAUCUCCAUGAGGCCAGUCCUGCUCACCCAGAACAAAGAGGCACUGCUGGCCCUGCCCCUGGGGCUGACACUGACGUUUACGGUCCAUUUCCACGAUAACUCUGGAGAUACUUUCCAUUCACACAAUGCUGUGCUCAGCUUUGCCACCAACAGAGACGACUUGGUGCAGAUCGCCAAGGGAGCCGCCAACAACACCUUCGUGGUCAGGACUGUGAACGUGGGGCUCACCCUGCUCAGGGUGUGGGAUGCAGAGCACCGUGGCACUGCAGACUACAUCCCACUGCCUGUGCAGCAUGCCAUCUUCCCAGAGCUGCCAGACGUGGUGCUGGGGGAUGUCCUGUGCCUGAGGACCUCGCUGACAGCACAGGAAGGCCUGCCAGGCGUGUGGAGCUCCUCCUCAAGCGCUCUUCUUCUGGUGGACUCCAAGACUGGCGUGGCCCUGGCGAGGGACUCGGGGCUGGUCACGGUGUUCUAUGAGAUCCCCGGGUUACUGAAAACCUACAGAGAGAUCUUGAUUAAUGCCCCUCAGAGGACCACAGCAAUGCAUGUCAGCGGCAUGCAGGCAAGCUUGCAGGGAGCGGCAGCCUCAAAAGUCAUCGUUUCAAUUGGGGAAAGUAACAAAAACUUGAAAGGGGAGUGUUCACCUGCUCAGACUGAGGCCAUUGCUGAGUUACAACCCCAGUCCAUUAUCAGUUGCCAUCUCGAUUUCAGCAGUGAUGCCUUUGACUUCCCAGCACAGGAUAUUUUUGUGGCAGAGCCCGGGUUUGAUGCAGUUUCAGGACACUACACGUGCUCCAUCAGGAUGCACAGCCUCGCUGACAAGCAGCUGAAGCAGCUGAGCAGGAGCAAAGCCGCGCUGCGGGUGACGGCGGCGCUGCGGGGCGGCGCCGUGCCCGGCGAGCGGCUGGGCACAGAGGUGCCCUUCAACCGCUGGUUCUACGCCGACCAGGCCGAGAUGCUGCUCAGCAACCAGGACGUCAGCUCCGUCCUGAAGAUCUUCGGUGCCAGUGAAAUCCUGGAUAGCCUGGAGGUGAAAUGCGAGUCCCCGGCAGUGAAGGUGCUGGAGAAGGAGAAGUCCUACGGGCUGCCCAGUUACGUGGUGUACACUGUGAGCCUGGCUGAUCCCAGGGUUCCCAGCCAGGGCUCCCUGUCCACCUCUCUGACUGUCUCCAGUCCCGUGACAGAGCAGUCCCUCAGCAUCCCAGUGACGGUGAUCUACCUGACCGACAGAACCACCACUCCCAUCAGAUAUGAAGCCAGUCUCUUCCAGCAGUUUGUUGAGUCUUACCAGGUGAUGAUCUUCACGCUUUUUGCACUCUUAGCAGGGACAGCUGUUAUGAUCAUAGCCUACCACGCGUUCUUCUCGCCGAACGGACAGCACAAUCAGCUCGUAUUCCACCCAAGGACAAGUCUUCAGCACAGCCCUGACAGUUCCCUGGUGUCCCCUGCACAUUCCUUCAGCUCGCAGGCGUCCAGCAGGCAGAGCAGCCCCUCGGCCCCGCUCUGGAGCACGGGUUAUGCCUCUCGGUGAGGGAGCACGGCUGCUCCUGCUGCAGGUGAACACCAGCGCACAGCUCAGUGCCUUAGCAAGCUCAGCAGCUUCAGCAGUCGCGGUCUCGUUCGAGUUUGCUCUGGAGUACAACUAGGUCCUUAAUUUAUUUAUUUUUUUUUAAAAAAAAAUUAGGGCUCUUUGAGUUGUAUUUGUUUUUCUGUCAGUGCUUCAGUUCUCGAAAGCUUGUUUUAUCUGUUUUGCUGCCUUCACAAAAAGCAGUGUUUAUGCUAGUUCUGGCUUUCCUGCACUCUUAAAGCAACUAGAAGUUACGUCUAAGUUAGACCAAUAGCAGGUUUUUUAUUUACUUUUUUUUGUAAAAAUUAGAUUUCUUUUUAAUGAACUCUUUUUUUUUUUUUUAAAAAAAAAGGGAGAUUAGAAAAACAGACGAAAUAUGAGCCAAAACCGUGAAGGAUUGUAUAUUUCGAAGAACUAGUUUUUAUUUUGCGUUCCGAAAACUCAGGAAUGUAUUGCACUGAUAAGUGUUCUUACAUUUAGCCUUACACUGGGAUUCAUCAGCACAAUGUGCUGGUUUAGCACGAGGAAUGCUGCAACAACUGUGAAUAAUUUGGAAGUUUUUUUACAACAAUGACUAAAAAAAGGACAAAAAAAAAAAGAGCUUAGUGUGGCUUCCUUUGGGUACAACUGCAGUAUUCCUUGGUGCUGUAAGCACUUUCUUGAACUGGGAAUGUGAAAGCAUGUGCCUUCUAAGUGGACCUUUCUUCCAGUAGGAAUCCUUUAUUUUGAGGAUAUAAUCACUUUUAUUUGUAAGCAGAGUUUUGCAGCUAUCAGCAUUUCAUCUGGAAAAGCUUCCAGAAGUGAAGUUCCUGCAUUUCUCUCCAAAGAGAGCGGGAUGGAUGCACUUGAGGGGUCCUGAUCCAAGGGAAAGCUGCACUCACGGCGAGAGCUCUGUGUAUGUCCAACCACCACGGGGCUGGCACCACGUCCAGGACACAAGGACAUGGUCCUUUCCCAAGGACUCUGCACAAGAGGACACAUUUGGGUUUUGCCUGCUAACAUUCCCUGGUACCUCUUACCAAAACAAGAUACAGAAGCAGAAAAAUCACAGAAACGGACAAAAGCUCCCAGGAAAUCUUUAAUGAAAGGUGCAUUAGGAUGAAGGCUUGGUUGAAGCUGCGUACUUAGAUGGAUUAGUUCUGGACCACACUUCGCAGGCAAAGCUCCAGGCUCAGCUACAGGACCUGGAGGAGCCAAUUUAUCAUUUCUUCCAUAAAUCAAAAGGCAGUUCCUACAAACAGUAAUGAUCGGUCCACUCAGGAUCAGACUCAGAAAAUUAAAAAUUUCUACUUCUUUGUGGAGACACUUUAAAAUAGGGCCAGUAAUUUUACCAUGCUUAGCCCAGGCUAUCUCAAGCAAUUCAGGAGCUGGUCAGGGUGAGAACAGCCUAAUUCUCCAAAUGCCAUCCAAGCCAGACGGGCUCUGUGGGGUGGAGCGAGCCAGGAGGCUCCUGAGGGUGGGGCAGGUAUUCUCCCUUUUCAAAGGAGGGGUGGAGGUACACAGAUCGAGUCUAAAUACACUCCAUUCAACUAAGAAAGAAAGUGUAACACGAUCGUAUUUUACAAGAGAUUAUCAUGAAGAAGGUUAGUGGUAGAAAAGGCACGAGGAAGUUUCAUGCCUUUAAGUAGAAAUCAGAUAAACUGUUAAGAAAAAUAAGAUGUCGGGUCCUAAAAGUGGUUUAUGUUUAACCAGGAGAGGGAGAAAACCAGAAACAUCACAUUUCCUGAAAGAUUUCAGGUCUUUAUGGCUGCGCUUUCUCCUUUUUCUUGUUUAACACCUCAGAGUCGGGUCUCAUCUCACAGGCAUCAGCAGCUCAUGGUCCCGGUCAGCAGUGGGAUUCCCAGUUCCUCUUUUCCCCCAGGGAUCCCCAAAGGAGGCAGCAAAUGGGCCCCCAGAAUGUUGUUUUUUGUGGUUCUAUGCAGCUGCUCCACUGGAGGGGAGCAGGCGCUGCUGGGGUGUGCUGAGAGCACAGGAGAGCAGAACUUCUGUCCUGCCUUAGGACACGAGGAGGGGACACGGGGGCUAAACACAGGGUGUGAGAAGGGGCUCGGACCUAACACUGAAAGAGGAGGCAGUGAGAUGAGAUGUUAGGAAGGAAUUUCUGGCUGGGAGGGUGCUGAGGCCCUGGCACAGGGUGCCCAGAGCAGCUGUGUCUGCCCCUGGAUCCCUGGCAGUGCCCAAGGCCAGGCUGGACAGGGCUGGGAGCAGCCUGGGACAGCAGGAGGUGUCCCUGCCAUGGCAGAGCUGGCACUGGAAGGUCCCUCCAACCCAGUCCAUGUGUGACUUCUGUGACCUACAUAUAAAUUCUAACAACAGGAUGAACUUGAAGAGCAGGAUAAAAUUCCUCAGUGUCUAAGCACAGCAGCAGAACCGAGAAGUGAGGCAGAGAUUUAAGGGGGCUGGGGGGGGAUCUAAGGGAGAAUUGCAACCAAGAAAGAAGCGGCUUCGAAGAGAAUUUUAAAAGAGAGAGAUGGAGGGUAGAGUUAAGAUUGAGCACAAAUCACUGCAUGACUUCUGGAUCCUUGUUUUUUAAUAUUACACUGACCUAAUUGAUUUUACAUAGGAAAAUAUGUAUCACAG
Molecule: RNA transcript, 8275 nt
Organism: Hirundo rustica (Barn swallow)
Lineage: Eukaryota; Metazoa; Chordata; Aves; Passeriformes; Hirundinidae
Gene: NUP210
Gene name: nucleoporin 210
Exons: 42
Source: RefSeq, a predicted model, not a curated record